AUUAGAGUUUGAUCCUGGCUCAGGAUGAACGCUGGCGGUAUGCUUAACACAUGCAAGUCGAACGGGCUCUUCGGAGCUAGUGGCGGACGGGUGAGUAACGCGUGAGAAUCUGGCUUCAGGUUCGGGACAACAGUUGGAAACGGCUGCUAAUACCGGAUGUGCCUGUGGGUGAAAGAUUUAUCACCUGAAGAUGAGCUCGCGUCUGAUUAGCUAGUAGGUGUGGUAAGAGCGCACCUAGGCGACGAUCAGUAGCUGGUCUGAGAGGAUGAUCAGCCACACUGGGACUGAGACACGGCCCAGACUCCUACGGGAGGCAGCAGUGGGGAAUUUUCCGCAAUGGGCGAAAGCCUGACGGAGCAAUACCGCGUGAGGGAGGAAGGCUCUUGGGUUGUAAACCUCUUUUCUUAGGGAAGAAAACAUGACGGUACCUGAGGAAUAAGCAUCGGCUAACUCCGUGUCAGCAGCCGCGGUAAUACGGAGGAUGCAAGCGUUAUCCGGAAUGAUUGGGCGUAAAGCGUCCGCAGGUGGCAAUGUAAGUCUGCUGUCAAAGCGUCUGGCUCAACCAGAUAAAGGCAGUGGAAACUACAUAGCUAGAGUAAGGUAGGGGUAGAGGGAAUUCCUGGUGUAGCGGUGAAAUGCGUAGAGAUCAGGAAGAACACCGGUGGCGAAAGCGCUCUGCUGGACCUUAACUGACACUGAGGGACGAAAGCUAGGGGAGCGAAUGGGAUUAGAUACCCCCAGUAGUCCUAGCCGUAAACGAUGGGUACUAGGCGUUGCCCGUAUCGACCCGGGCAGUGUCGUAGCUAACGCGUUAAGUAUCCCGCCUGGGGAGUACGCAGGCAACUGUGAAACUCAAAGGAAUUGACGGGGGCCCGCACAAGCGGUGGAGUAUGUGGUUUAAUUCGAUGCAACGCGAAGAACCUUACCAGGGCUUGACAUGUCCGGAAUCUCAGGGAAACUUGAGAGUGCCUUCGGGAGCCGGAACACAGGUGGUGCAUGGCUGUCGUCAGCUCGUGUCGUGAGAUGUUGGGUUAAGUCCCGCAACGAGCGCAACCCUCGUUCUUAGUUGCCAUCAUUAAGUUGGGAACUCUAAGGAGACUGCCGGUGACAAACCGGAGGAAGGUGGGGAUGACGUCAAGUCAGCAUGCCCCUUACGCCCUGGGCUACACACGUACUACAAUGCUAUGGACAAAGGGCAGCAAGCGGGCAACCGCAAGCAAAUCUCGCAAACCAUGGCUCAGUUCAGAUCGCAGGCUGCAACUCGCCUGCGUGAAGGUGGAAUCGCUAGUAAUUGCAGGUCAGCAUACUGCAGUGAAUUCGUUCCCGGGCCUUGUACACACCGCCCGUCACACCAUGGAAGCUGGUCACGCCCGAAGUCGUUACCCUAACCUUUCGAGGAGGGGGACGCCGAAGGUAGGACUGGUGACUGGGGUGAAGUCGUACAAGGUAACCAAU
Molecule: ribosomal RNA, 1455 nt
Filed under: uncultured bacterium
Lineage: Bacteria
Description: bacterial SSU rRNA
Rfam family: Bacterial small subunit ribosomal RNA
Source: RNAcentral